Hebeloma cylindrosporum is the source of this 84-nucleotide transfer RNA. It matches the Rfam family "tRNA". Rfam says of the family: Transfer RNA (tRNA) molecules are approximately 80 nucleotides in length. Their secondary structure includes four short double-helical elements and three loops (D, anti-codon, and T loops). Lineage: Eukaryota; Fungi; Basidiomycota; Agaricomycetes; Agaricales; Hymenogastraceae. The record is from Rfam.
GGCGCUAUAGUGUAGUGGUUAUCACUCGAGAUUUUGACGUUAUGUAAAUUUCUCGGAACCCAGGUUCGAUCCCUGGUAGUGCCU